This 237-nucleotide long non-coding RNA is filed under the name Carica papaya (papaya). RNAcentral describes it as "long non-coding RNA (CPAP_LNC000017)". The record is from RNAcentral. Lineage: Eukaryota; Viridiplantae; Streptophyta; Magnoliopsida; Brassicales; Caricaceae.
AGAAGUAGUGGUAGCACGGAGGUAGAGGCUAGUGGUGGUUGAGUGAAGAAGAACUAGAUAUGGUAGCCAAGAUGUGUGAGAACCUGAGUAAGAGAGAUAGAAAAACGUGGAGAGUUGGCAAACAGAAACAAUUGGAGAAGAAGCAUGAUCUAUCAUUUUAAUAAGGAACUUGAGCUUGGAGCUAGAUAAAUACAUAAGACUUCUCAACUCUCUUGUUGGGGUGUCGAUUCUUGGAGG